CAUUACUGAAGAAAUGGUAGUUGGCUGACCGAAGCUAUAUGGGUGUAUGUGCUCGCUUCUACCGCUAAAUCCAUUCUCCACUGUGCACCUAUUGUAGGCUAUGAUAACGUUCUGAAGGCUUUAUAUAGUGAACUCUAUGUUUGCUUUUUUGCCUUUUUCGAUUUCGUAGCCUAUGUUCAUACAAACUCUUUUAUAGUCAAUGAAUGUGUAUUGUUGAUCUCUUACGAUCGAUAAACUAUGUACAACUUUCAGCAACGGAUCUCUUGGCUCUCGCAUCGAUGAAGAACGCAGCGAAAUGCGAUAAGUAAUGUGAAUUGCAGAAUUCAGUGAAUCAUCGAAUCUUUGAACGCACCUUGCACUCCUUGGUAUUCCGAGGAGUAUGCCUGUUUGAGUGUCAUUAAAUUCUCAAAAGCCUAAUCGUUUUUCAACGACUUGGGAUCUUUUGGAUGUGAGGGGUUUCUGCUGGCUUCAAAUCGAAUCCAGCUCCCUUUAAAUUCAUUAGUGGUUGCUUUUAUUUCACUAGAGUGUGAUAGUAUAUCUACGCUCGGACGGUGAUAAUAAGCUUUGUAUCCGCUUUCGAACCGUCUCUACCAUAGGGGACAGCUUUUUGACCAUUUGACCUCAAAUCAGGUAGGACU
RNAcentral lists this ribosomal RNA (638 nucleotides) under uncultured fungus. RNAcentral's name for it is "eukaryotic LSU rRNA". The stretch from base 244 to 397 matches the Rfam family "5.8S ribosomal RNA". Lineage: Eukaryota; Fungi. The record is from RNAcentral.